CUGCGGCAGCGACACUGUGUGUUGUUGGGUAGGGGAGCGUUCUGUAAGCCUGUGAAGGUGUGUCGUGAGGCAUGCUGGAGGUAUCAGAAGUGCGAAUGCUGACAUAAGUAACGAUAAAGCGGGUGAAAAGCCCGCUCGCCGGAAGACCAAGGGUUCCUGUCCAACGUUAAUCGGGGCAGGGUGAGUCGACCCCUAAGGCGAGGCCGAAAGGCGUAGUCGAUGGGAAACGGGUUAAUAUUCCCGUACUUGGUGUUACUGCGAAGGGGGGACGGAGAAGGCUAUGUUGGCCGGGCGACGGUUGUCCCGGUUUAAGUGUGUAGGUGUGUGUUCCAGGUAAAUCCGGUUCACUUUAACACUGAGGCGUGACGACGAGGCACUACGGUGCUGAAGCAACAAAUGCCCUGCUUCCAGGAAAAGCCUCUAAGCAUCAGGUAACAUCAAAUCGUACCCCAAACCGACACAGGUGGUCAGGUAGAGAAUACCAAGGCGCUUGAGAGAACUCGGGUGAAGGAACUAGGCAAAAUGGUGCCGUAACUUCGGGAGAAGGCACGCUGACACGUAGGUGAAGUGAUUUACUCAUGGAGCUGAAGUCAGUCGAAGAUACCAGCUGGCUGCAACUGUUUAUUAAAAACACAGCACUGUGCAAACACGAAAGUGGACGUAUACGGUGUGACGCCUGCCCGGUGCCGGAAGGUUAAUUGAUGGGGUCAGCGCAAGCGAAGCUCCUGAUCGAAGCCCCGGUAAACGGCGGCCGUAACUAUAACGGUCCUAAGGUAGCGAAAUUCCUUGUCGGGUAAGUUCCGACCUGCACGAAUGGCGUAAUGAUGGCCAGGCUGUCUCCACCCGAGACUCAGUGAAAUUGAACUCGCUGUGAAGAUGCAGUGUACCCGCGGCAAGACGGAAAGACCCCGUGAACCUUUACUAUAGCUUGACACUGAACAUUGAGCCUUGAUGUGUAGGAUAGGUGGGAGGCUUUGAAGUGUGGACGCCAGUCUGCAUGGAGCCGACCUUGAAAUACCACCCUUUAAUGUUUGAUGUUCUAACGUGGACCCGUUACCCGGGUUGCGGACAGUGUCUGGUGGGUAGUUUGACUGGGGCGGUCUCCUCCUAAAGAGUAACGGAGGAGCACGAAGGUUGGCUAAUCCUGGUCGGACAUCAGGAGGUUAGUGCAAUGGCAUAAGCCAGCUUGACUGCGAGCGUGACGGCGCGAGCAGGUGCGAAAGCAGGUCAUAGUGAUCC
This 1239-nucleotide ribosomal RNA is filed under the name Salmonella enterica. RNAcentral describes it as "partial 23S ribosomal RNA". It matches the Rfam family "Bacterial large subunit ribosomal RNA", at positions 1200 to 2421 of the family's 2925-position model. The record is from RNAcentral. RNAcentral also lists the same sequence under 1 other name. Lineage: Bacteria; Pseudomonadati; Pseudomonadota; Gammaproteobacteria; Enterobacterales; Enterobacteriaceae.